AAAUUAAACAGGUCUUAAUCAAUUUAUCAUACAUCGUAAGACACACCAUAAAAAUAAAUAUAAGCACAAAGUUAGGCAUUCGUAAUGUAAUAUUAGUGAGACAUUUUACCCUGCAAUUCUAUAUAAGCUAUUAAGGCUUGUAACAUUGAAAUAAGGUAUCUUCGUUUUCCACAUCUAUUUUAAUAUAUGCUAAAUUUAUAAGUAAAAUAAAUAAGUAACUUUCAUAUUAAAUAUAGACAUUAUUUAUUAAAGUAGCUAAUUUUAACUAUAUAGUGAUAUUGUAAAAAAAAAACUCAUGUUAUGACAUUGUUGUUUUAUGUAUCUUAUAUUAUUGAAUGAAGGUAUAGUUGUAUAAUAUAAUAAUACAUUUUUGGGCUUCACUAAAAGAUAAAUCGUUCGUAAGAACUCGAAUUCGAUUUUUGAGUGGAAAAUUUUCUUGGCCAAAUUCCCCCAUUUCCCCUUGUAGGGGGCUUUCCAUAUUCGCAAUCACAAACAUAAUUAAAGCACCUCACAACCCAAGGAUAGACACAGAUAGAUCUUGGACAAUCACCGUGUCUAUCGCAACCAACUUCUGCAAAGUCAAAUAAAAAUAAAUGAAUAAUACAAAAAUAAAAAUAAAUGCUAUGAGGUAAAAAGGUAAACAAUGUCCAGUAUUACUUACUUCCGUUGGUUACCACUAGAAAAAGAGAAAGAAUAAUGAACAGAUUAAAAAUUUGAGCCAUAUUUUCGCAUGAAUAAAAAUUUGUUUACACAAUUUAUAAUGUAUAAAUUUGUUGCUUGGAUAAUUUCAGGUAAAGAGUUUUUAGCUCUUAGGAGUUCAAGAAACCAUUAAUAAAUAUGAAUUAUUAUUAAUUGUCUCUAAGAUAGAUUAAUUUGUUGUGUUUAACUUUUAGCUCACUCUAUUGAUCACUUCAUUUUUUGAGGUAACUCAAUUGACCAAUUAAUCUUAGUAAAUAUCUCAAUUAAAUUUUUUGAUAUUCUUCAAAAAAAAAUUUAGAUUUUUUAUUUUAUAGUUUUUGAUGAUAGACAAGAGAAAUAUUUUAAAAGAUUAAUAAUAUAGAUGAUCGUUUAAAAUAAGGAAGGGUAGAUGGUUGUGUAUACCCCUGUUGUUAUCUCAAGUUUCGAUAAACUGUAUUUAUUGAAAAGUUGGUACAUUUAACAUAACAUUUAUUAAGACAGAAUAAAUUAUAUGAGAUGUAUUACCGAUGGAAAAGUCCUAAGUAAAGACAUUUAUUAAUCUAAAUGGAGAGUAUCCACAAGAGUAAUUAUAUCUUUGAUUAUAUCUCUUUGAAAGAGCUAGGUUCAUGAAUGUACAGCUGAAAAGAUAAGAGAGGAGAUUCCUCUUAUUAUAGCUAAGAAGGCAAGAGAGAAGACAUUGUUUGAAUUUCUCAUUUUAUCAAGUUUGCCUUUGAAUAUGAUGUUUCUCGAGUUCGUUUAUGAACUAAUCGAAGCAUUACUUUAUACUUAUGGUUAUGGACAUAGAAUAUUUUUACUAUUUAUUCUUGACUUAAGUUUGAUUUCGACUAAUGCAGCGUUCCAUUUGAAGAAGCAGUUCAAAUGCAAAGUGUAACAGCACGGGCCUCACACCUCACGUAUAGUAAAUGGUCUGUCACCGUACAUCACGAUCUUCUCAACCCCCUCUCUAGUGGGAGUUUAUGCCUUCCGUAGAAAAUCGAACCAUGUACCAUGAGGUUAAAGUACAUGUUCAAUCCAUUCACACUACCACCAAUUGAGCUAUACCAAACUCAUUGGUAAAUUGGCAACAUCUGAUCUAUCAUAACUAUACCACCUACUGUAGUCUGCAUUUUUUUUUAUUGUAAUUAUUAAUUGACUUCACUCCCUUCUUACAUAUGUUUUAUUAUAGCUCUAGGAUCCUUUAAUUUCCUGCACUAGUGGGGUUUUUUCAGUCUUUCAGAGGUAAGCUAGUGUCUUUUGAAAGUAUUGUAUACUAUUAUGUGUUCCUUGUUUUUGCUUAUUUUUGUUUGUUAGUCUAUAUUUGAUUUUUUUAGUUCAAAUGUUAAUGUUACCUAAGACUCAAAUUGGUGUUAAAUUGGUGUAAGACUCAAAACCAGGUAUAUGAAUUGGGACUUCUCACUAUGCAUAUUCAGUUUCCUUCAAGAAAGCUGAAAUUCUAUUAUGGUUUGUUUGACUUUUUACUAUCAAGAGGGAGAUGUUUGUGUUGGAUGUCCUUGUCCGUAAGUUUGCCCUCAUUGUCAGCAGCUCAGCGCCAUCACUCAACUCUUUGACCUUAAUCCCACAAGGUAUACUCUUAUUUAUUUGAAUAGGGUGUAGAAUUACUUGUCAUUAUUUCUCCAUUUGUUUAGGAUGUAUAAUUACUUGUCAUUAUUAUAUGGAAUUACUUUAAACUGGAAUUACUUCAAACUCGAACUUAUAGUGGCAAACUGGAAUUACUUCAAUAGGAUUGUGUUUGAAAAGGAGGCAUGGUUUGUUUGCCAAAAGUAUCUCCUUGAUAGUGAAGCAUAUUACUCUAUAUUUACAUUUUUUAGUGAUAAUUAAGGUAUACUCCUUCCGUCCUCAAAAUAUAAAAAUUGGUCAAUAGGCCACCCCUCCAUAUUAUUGCCGUGAUUGUAAAAUACCAAAUUUAACCGUGGCUAAAUUUUGCAAUGCCCCAAUAGGCCACCCCUCAAAAUUAAUCCGGUAAACUUCAUUGGUCAAAUGCACUUUUAGCUACAGUUUUGACCGUGGCUAAAUAGCACUUUUUUUAGUGCCACAUUCUCUUUCAAUCUCUCCCACAAUGUUGUUUGUAAAGAUGUUGUAAGGCUGUAUCUUUUCCAUUUAUCUCAAUACGUAUAUAUACAAGUAAUUGCCAAUUUACAUGUGCUUAGUUUUGGCAACUAAGUGAUUACAAAUAAUUAUAUAAUAAUAACAAAUGAUAUUGCAAUGAUUACAAAUAAUAUUCUAUUAAUUGAUAAUAAUAGNNUAUAUAUGGGCUUAACAUUUUUUUUUUGAAAAUUACUUUUUUCGCCCCCGUGUUCCUCUUAAACCCCCCAAAAAUCCCAAAAUAACCUUGAAUUUGGGGGGUUCAGGAUGAUAUGGAUUCUAGAAUCCGAAAUACAUUAGGACAAGCAAAUUGCAGGUUUGGAUUGUACAGUCUGAAAUGGACAAGCAAAUUACAGGUUUGGAUCCUGCGAACCGAAAUGGACAAGCAAAUUAACAGGUUUGGAUUGUACAGUCCGAAAUCAUGUUUUAUGCGGAAAAUUAUAAAAUGAACAAUUUACAAAAUUUUAAAAAAACUGCCCAGUUUGGCAUGUAGGAUCCGAAAUAGUUUCGGAUUAUGUGAUCCAAAGGCGACUGCAAUCAUAAAACCAUGAAAAUUGAAAAAAUUAACGGUUUAAAGCGCAUAUUACCUCUUGUAUGACCUCGAUUGAGUAUUGCGACCCUCUUUGAGUGAAUAAACGUUNNNNNNNNNNNNNUUGCUUUCAAGCCUCUGAUACACCAAAAAAUUGCCCUAGUUCCAAAGCUCCCGAUUGAGUGUCCAAGUGGUUAUGAAAGUGCAACUUCUGUCAUAUAGGCUAUAUAGACUCUAUUCGGAUUCUACGAACCGAAUAUCAGCGUUUCCGGUUGGUAGAAUCCGAAAUGAUGCAAAAUUUUAAAAAGCAAAGCAUUUCGGAUUGUAUAGUCCAAAAUCAUGUUUUCUUGGGCAAACCAUCAACGAUGUACAAGCCAGGCAUAUCCAGUGGCUGGCUUAUUUAAAUUGGUUUCGGAUUGUAUGGUCCAUAUCAAACAAGUUUCGGAUUCUAUACUCCAAACACAUUAAAAAUAAGGAUGUUCGGAUUGUAUGGUCCAAACCCAGAUUUUUCUGGGCAAAACAUCACGUACAACACAGGCAUAACCAGUCAAUUGCUUGUUUAAACUGAUUUCGGAUUGUAUGGUCCAUAAUAAACAAAUUUCGGAUUCUAUAGUCCAAACGCAUUUAAAGGGUCAAAAUGGUCACUAUGUGGCAAAAUUAUCAAAUUUGAUUAGAUGAUCGUGUAAAGUUGUUUUACACUAUUANNNNNNNNNNNNNNNNNNNNNNNNNNNNNNNNNNNNNNNNNNNNNNNNNNNNNNNNNNNNNNNNNNNNNNNNNNNNNNNNNNNNNNNNNNNNNNNNNNNNNNNNNNNNGAUGAAAAUUUUAAUAUUAAAAUAUUAAUUUUUUAGUCUCAUUUUACCCGUGCUUGGCACGGGUCCGGAUACUAGUUGUUGUUUUAUGUACUACUCCGACCUCUUUUAUAAGUAAAUAUAGGAGUAUCUUAUAUUAUUGAUUUGAGGUAACAACAAUAGUUGUAUAGUAAUGAUACAUUUUCGAGCUUGUCAAAGAAUUGAAACCAUAAGAGAAACAUAUAUCAAAAUGUGCAAGAAAUAUUUAUGUACAAAUUAAGUAUGUAUUUAUUAGUAUACAAUAUAAUUAUAUAAUUAUAUUUUACUAAUAAAUGUAUACUUAAAAAUUAUUAAUUCCACACUGACAAAAAUAAUUAAUGCACCUCGCAACCAUAGGCCAGUUACACAUAGUACUUGGACAAUCAUUAUGUCUUUUACAAGGAAGUUCUGCGAAGUCAAAUAAAAAUAAAGAAAUAUUAUCAAAAGAAAAUAAAAUGUUAUGUAAAAUUAAAAUAUAUAUAAAGAUGUAAACAAUGUUCAAAAUUACUUACUUUCGUUGUUUACCACAACAAAUAGAAAAAGAAUAAUUAACAGAGCAAAAAUUUGAGCCAUUUUUUUCUAAUUUGAGUAUAAUAAAUAAAAACGUGUUUGAACAAUUUAUAAGUAUAAAUUUGUUGUUUGGUUAACUUCAAGUAA
RNAcentral lists this long non-coding RNA (4794 nucleotides) under Trifolium pratense (red clover). RNAcentral's name for it is "long non-coding RNA (TPRA_LNC012191)". Lineage: Eukaryota; Viridiplantae; Streptophyta; Magnoliopsida; Fabales; Fabaceae. The record is from RNAcentral.